Molecule: long non-coding RNA, 1770 nt
Filed under: Linum usitatissimum (flax)
Lineage: Eukaryota; Viridiplantae; Streptophyta; Magnoliopsida; Malpighiales; Linaceae
Description: long non-coding RNA (LUSI_LNC003813)
Source: RNAcentral
GGUGAUCUCGAGAGACGAGCUGUUGCUGCUGCUGGCUGCGACGAACAAGGCAGGUUCGUGAGGGUUUGUUCGAGUUGAUUUCGGUGCUAUCCUACCUGAGCUUUUUAUAAUCAAUUUUUUAGUUUUGUUUAAGUUAGUUUUCCUUUUCUUGACCUUGUAAGACCUUUUUCUUGACCUUGUAAGACCCCAUACAUAGUUAAAUCAGUUUAGGUGCAUGACAGCUACCGGCUCUAUAUCUGAAUGUCGAGAUAUAGAGUACGAGAGCUGCAUUUUCCUGUAUCCGUCUAACGCAUCUUCUCCUUCCUUGUCUAUCCCUCCUGAGCUUGUUUGACCCUUUUAGUAACUAGGACUCCCCAAAAUCAAAUAAAUGAUGUAAUAUUUUGUACUGUGUAAUAUUUGAUGAAGUCAUGGAGCAGAAGCUGAAGCAAAGCAGCAGGUUUUAGCAAGCUGUUGUUGUUUUGUUUGACUUUGUGUUUCCAAUUAUUCAAGGAAAUAAAUUAUCUGCAAAAACCAGACACAAACAACAUUAGCAGAAUUAAAUUAUAUGAUGGGAAAAAAAGCAGCAGAUUGGUUUGUUAGUUGGUUGGUUGGGAGGAGAAAAGUUAAAAGAAGAAAGAUAGGAGAAUAAAUGUUAUUCUCUUCAGUUCUGUGGCCUGGCUGCUGCUGCUGCUGCUGCUGCUGCUGCCUCUACUGGUCCUCCUAUGGCUUGUCUGUGUGCGACAGAGAGUAAGUAAUGAUCACUUGAAGAGUUUUGUAUGCAGUUAUUUGCUUUCUCUCUGUUAUUUGUACUGGUAUCCUUUGUUUUUCUUCUAUUUUGUACCGGUACUGAAUCAACGAUAGAACCAGUAUAAGAGUUAACUAAUUCUUGAAAGGUGGUUUAGAUUAGUCUACCCAUAUAAUUCCUCUAUUUUUCUGAACCCAUCUCUACAUAACUGGAUUUCGGGUGAUGCUCCCGUGGUCAGAUAUUUGGGUCCAAAACCGUGAUAUUGUAUAUAAAAUUUAGGUAUUUUCCAGUAUCAAAUAUGAUAGUUUCCAUUCUUGAUCAGGGCGUAUUCCAGUUUGUAAAACAUUAAUCAAAACUCAUAAUCAUCAUUGACUUUCAUUUGGGAACUUGAAAUUCUGAUCAGGGUAUCACCGACUAUUCUGAAUCCGCCACUGCUAACAGAGGCACAUGUGCUUGAAGGGAUCAAAGCUUUUGAACUAUAUAAGAACUAAGUUUUGUAAAACAGUGAAGUAGUCCAAAAAGGUGGGUGUGUUUGAAAAUUGAAAUGAAAUCAUAUAUCUCUGAGUCAGUGAUGGAAAUGCAUAUUAAUGUGGGGAAGAAGGGACAGAGUUGAAAACAAAAAAAAAAGGCAGGGAGAGUGAAGGAAGAGGUGUUUGUUUGUUGAGAGCAGAGCCUCAUAAAUAAAGAUGAUGAUGCAUGAUCAUGAUGAUGAGCUCAGAAAAGAGAGAUGACUUUGCAUUAUUCUGGGCACUACUCCAUGCACAGUGGUCCUGAUUUGUACUCUGCCACUCUCCAUUUUCUUUCUUUUAUGUUUUUUAAAAACUGUCAUUAAGAGUAGAGGUGUUCAUCACAGAGGAGGGGUCGAUCUGAAAAGGACGAAAGAUCCCUCCCCAGCUGCAAUUCAAAGUAGUUGCAUAUCCAGUCCAGCUAAUGAGCCAAAAGGAACACAAAAUGCUGAUAAGGUUUGGUUUCUAGGGGUGGCCAUGAGAUUGGAUCGUUUUCAACGGCUACCCAUUACUUAUUUUCAUUAUUAACUUAUAUAUUUG